Molecule: ribosomal RNA, 418 nt
Filed under: uncultured bacterium
Lineage: Bacteria
Description: bacterial SSU rRNA
Rfam family: Bacterial small subunit ribosomal RNA
Source: RNAcentral
UGGGGAAUAUUGGGCAAUGGGGCGCAAGCCUGACCCAGCAACGUCGCGUGAAGGAAGAAGGCUUUCGGGUUGUAAACUUCUUUUGCCGGGGGAUAACGGGCGCCACGUGUGGCGCCGUGAAGGUACCCGGAGAAUAAGCAUCGGCUAACUCCGUGCCAGCAGCCGCGGUAAUACGGAGGAUGCGAGCGUUAUCCGGAUUUAUUGGGUUUAAAGGGUGCGCAGGCGGGCGUCUAAGUCAGCGGUGAAAGUUCCCGGCUCAACCGGGUCAGUGCCGAUGAUACUGGGGGCCUUGAAUGCGGUCGAGGCCGGCGGAAUGUGGCGUGUAGCGGUGAAAUGCAUAGAUAUGCCACAGAACACCGAUAGCGAAGGCAGCUGGCCGGGCCUGCAUUGACGCUGAGGCACGAAAGCGUGGGGAUCG